This 233-nucleotide ribosomal RNA is filed under the name uncultured bacterium. RNAcentral describes it as "partial 16S ribosomal RNA". It matches the Rfam family "Bacterial small subunit ribosomal RNA", at positions 103 to 334 of the family's 1533-position model. The record is from RNAcentral.
CGGGUGAGUAACGCGUGAGGAACCUGCCUCAAAGAGGGGGACAACAGUUGGAAACGACUGCUAAUACCGCAUAAGCCCACGGCUCGGCAUCGAGCAGAGGGAAAAGGAGCAAUCCGCUUUGAGAUGGCCUCGCGUCCGAUUAGCUAGUUGGUGAGGUAAUGGCCCACCAAGGCGACGAUCGGUAGGCGGACUGAAAGGUUGAACGGCCACAUUGGGACUGAGACACGGCCCAG